AGUUGAAUGGCAGGGCAAUUCUCCUUUGGCAGAAAGCAUUCGGUGCCGGUACUUGAGAUUGAGAGUAAAUGCACCAAAUAUAUAUAAUUAUUUCUGCCAAAGGAAAAUUGCCCUGUUAUUCAUCU
MicroRNA precursor from Prunus persica (peach), 125 nucleotides. It matches the Rfam family "mir-399 microRNA precursor family". Rfam says of the family: mir-399 was identified in both Arabidopsis thaliana and Oryza sativa computationally and was later experimentally verified. mir-399 is thought to target mRNAs coding for a phosphatase transporter. The mature sequence is excised from the 3' arm of the hairpin. NCBI's taxonomy places the organism in Eukaryota, Viridiplantae, Streptophyta, Magnoliopsida, Rosales, Rosaceae. The record is from Rfam.